RNAcentral lists this ribosomal RNA (274 nucleotides) under uncultured bacterium. Its description in RNAcentral is "partial 16S ribosomal RNA". It matches the Rfam family "Bacterial small subunit ribosomal RNA", at positions 523 to 796 of the family's 1533-position model. The record is from RNAcentral.
AUACGGGGGGUGCAAGCAUUAAUCGGAUUCAUUGGGCGUAUAGGGCGCGUAGGCGGACAUGAAAGUCAGGUGUGAAAUUUCGGGGCUCAACCCCGAAGCUGCACUUGAAACUUCAUAUCUUGAGGGUAGGCGGAGAAAGUGGAAUUCCACAUGUAGCGGUGAAAUGCGUAGAUAUGUGGAAGAACACCUGUGGCGAAAGCGACUUUCUAGCUUAUUCCUGACGCUGAGGCGCGAAAGCGAGGGGAGCAAACAGGAUUAGAAACCCCGGUAGUCC